This 327-nucleotide unclassified non-coding RNA is filed under the name soil metagenome. RNAcentral describes it as "partial contains 5.8S ribosomal RNA, internal transcribed spacer 2, and large subunit ribosomal RNA". The stretch from base 5 to 119 matches the Rfam family "5.8S ribosomal RNA", at positions 40 to 154 of the family's 154-position model. The record is from RNAcentral.
GAUGAGAACGCAGCGAAAUGCGAUAAGUAAUGUGAAUUGCAGAAUUCAGUGAAUCAUCGAAUCUUUGAACGCACAUUGCGCCCCUUGGUAUUCCGAGGGGCAUGCCUGUUCGAGCGUCAUUAUAACCCCUCAAGCUCAGCUUGGUGUUGGGGCCUGCCGCACGGGCAGCCCUUAAAAUCAGUGGCGGUGCCAUCUGGCUCUAAGCGUAGUAAUUCUUCUCGCUAUAGAGUCCCGGUGGAUGCUUGCCAUUAACCCCCAAUUUUCUAUGGUUGACCUCGGAUCAGGUAGGGAUACCCGCUGAACUUAAGCAUAUCAAUAAGCGGAGGA